UCUUUUUCUUUUUUUUUCCCCCCUCUUCUUUUCAUCUUGGCUUUCUGUUGCAGAAUGCAAAUGUUCUCUGCCGGCGGUGAAAGGGCUGAAUUGUGAUUAAGAAGAAGAAGAGUUCCUUUCUUUGUUCAUCCCUUAGGGGAUGUUUACUGGGAGAGACACAGCGGAUCAGAUAUGAAAGGCAUUCAGACUCAAGAAACGGCUAAAAGAAAUCAUCAUGGCAGUCUGGUCUGAAUGGAUAAGAUGAGGAAAGAGAACAUCUACAUCAGUGGAGACCCCACUGGAUGUAAGAGCCCAAAGCAGUUAUUAAGGCUGAAUGAAUGGAAGAAUGAAGGCGCGAUGCAAGUGACCUCGGAGAGCUGACAAUAACGUUUUCUUAGCAUCAUUGAGAAACAAGAUAAGAAAUGGAAAUAAAGAAUAAAAAAAAAGAAAUGUAAAACAGCAGCAUAAGCAGCAAAAGAAGUCUGUGGAGACCCUUGAGUAAACCAUUGAGAGGUGACCCUCUGAGUGUUUUUGGAAAUAAGGUGACAACAGCUGAGGAAAAAAGAUCAAAAAGAGGGACAUUUAAGGAGCAAAGAGGGACAGAGGGACUUGGCUCAAAGAGAGGGACACUUGAGAGGUCUGCUCGACCAGUGGUCAUUUCCUGUGUGUCAAGAGGAACCGGAAAAUAGAGACCAACAGAAACCUGGAAAGUGAGUUGACUUGUGAAGUGCCUGCAAACCGUUUAUAUAAAGCCGCCCAUACCUGCCGAGAUGCUCUAAAAUCAGCAAGACGUCUCCCAGCUGUAACACCGACCAACACCCCUGUGCCACCAUUUAAGAGGCUCCGUCCCCCCCUGUGUUAUGUACUCAACCAAAUACUUUCCCCAUGUCAUGGCAUUGGGUGUGCUAUUACAUCAGCACAGUUUUUCGGUAUUAUUUAUACACUGUAUACCUCAUUGUUCUACUGUAUGGCGCCAUUACGUGUACACAAUAAGAUACUUUUAUGUAAGCUCUAUGGCGAUAUUAUACGGGCACGGUAUGUUACUGUUAUUCAUUAGCGUAUGGUGGUAUUAAUUAUGGCACUAUGUUAAGCAGUAUUACAGUAUAUUUUCGGAGUGGGGAAAUACUGUAAUAAUACUACUGAAAUAAUAGUUACAGAAUUAAUACCACCAUACAGUGACAGAUACAUAUACACAUUCCGGUAUUGAACAGCACUUUGUACUCACUAUAAGAUUUUUUUUUAUUAUGCUCUAUAUGGCAAUAUUACAUAGGCACCACAUGCUACUGUUAUUUUUCACUGUACGGUGGUAUUACUUACAGCUGUAUUUUAUGAACAGUAUUAUGGCAACAUUAUAUUUUGGAAUAUGAUUACAUUUUGAUAGGCACUCACUCACUUGGAUUUAUGUGGAUGCAGAAAUGUAUUCCUAAAAUAAAAUGAAAACGGUAAGAAUAAAAACGAAUAAAAUACAGCGACAUAAAUUUAA
Molecule: long non-coding RNA, 1462 nt
Organism: Bufo gargarizans (Asiatic toad)
Lineage: Eukaryota; Metazoa; Chordata; Amphibia; Anura; Bufonidae
Exons: 7
Source: RefSeq, a predicted model, not a curated record